UCUCUGAGCUUGCUUUUUUUCUUGCAGAUAUUUCAUUAUCCAAACUAGAUUACAAAAGGAGUGGACAAGAGGAGGAAGAAGAGAGAGGGAGAGGAGAAGGCUGUCUGUUUUGGCAACAUACCCAAGAUGACACUAGAAACUACUGUUCAACGCCAUCCAAAACAGAAUGAGAUUGAAAUCUAAUUUAGACAUUGGAAGAUUGGAUUAAGAGGAAUAAGAAAUCUUUCAAUAAGGAGAAAUGAAAGGUAUUACAUUUACAGAGAA
Non-coding RNA from Pantherophis guttatus, 264 nucleotides. NCBI's taxonomy places the organism in Eukaryota, Metazoa, Chordata, Lepidosauria, Squamata, Colubridae. The record is from RefSeq and is a predicted model, not a curated record.